This 497-nucleotide ribosomal RNA is filed under the name uncultured bacterium. RNAcentral's name for it is "partial 16S ribosomal RNA". It matches the Rfam family "Bacterial small subunit ribosomal RNA", at positions 28 to 507 of the family's 1533-position model. The record is from RNAcentral.
GAUGAACGCUGGCGGCGCGCCUAAUACAUGCAAGUCGAGCGAACAGACGAGGAGCUUGCUCCUCUGACGUUAGCGGCGGACGGGUGAGUAACACGUGGAUAACCUACCUAUAAGACUGGGAUAACUUCGGGAAACCGGAGCUAAUACCGGAUAAUAUAUUGAACCGCAUGGUUCAAUAGUGAAAGACGGUUUUGCUGUCACUUAUAGAUGGAUCCGCGCCGCAUUAGCUAGUUGGUAAGGUAACGGCUUACCAAGGCAACGAUGCUUAGCCGCCCUGAGAGGGUGAUCGGCCACGCUGGAACUGAGACACGGUCCAGACUCCUACGGGAGGCAGCAGUAGGGAAUCUUCCGCAAUGGGCGAAAGCCUUACGGAGCAACGCCGCGUGAGUGAUGAAGGUCUUCGGAUCGUAAAACUCUGUUAUUAGGGAAGAACAAAUGUGUAAGUAACUAUGCACGUCUUGACGGUACCUAAUCAGAAAGCCACGGCUAACUACGUG